AUACCUACCUGGCAGCAGAGAUACCAUGAUCACGAAGGUGGUUUUCCCAGGGGGAGGCUUAUCCAUUGCCAUCCAUAUGUACUGAUGCCUGCUAUUUCCCCAAAUGUUGGAAACUCAACUGCAUAAUUUGUGGUAGUGGGGGACUGUGUUCGCACUCCCUCCUG
Molecule: small nuclear RNA, 164 nt
Organism: Sorex araneus (European shrew)
Lineage: Eukaryota; Metazoa; Chordata; Mammalia; Eulipotyphla; Soricidae
Gene: U1
Rfam family: U1 spliceosomal RNA
About the family: U1 is a small nuclear RNA (snRNA) component of the spliceosome (involved in pre-mRNA splicing). Its 5' end forms complementary base pairs with the 5' splice junction, thus defining the 5' donor site of an intron.
Source: Ensembl